UUAAGUUCAGCGGGUAUUCCUACCUGAUCCGAGGUCAACCUUGAAAAUUUGGGGGUUUCACGGCCGGAACCCGCUACACGUCCAGAGCGAAGAGAGAACUACUGCACUCGGUGUGAUAGCGAGCCCGCCACUGGUUUUAGGAGGCUGCGGGCAGCCGCAGGGCUCCAACACAAGCCUGGGGCUUGAUGGUUGAAAUGACG
This 200-nucleotide unclassified non-coding RNA is filed under the name Lasiosphaeriaceae sp. RNAcentral describes it as "partial internal transcribed spacer 2". Lineage: Eukaryota; Fungi; Ascomycota; Sordariomycetes; Sordariales; Lasiosphaeriaceae. The record is from RNAcentral.